AGUAUUGGACAAUGGGCGAAAGCCUGAUCCAGCCAUGCCGCGUGUGUGAAGAAGGUCUUCGGUUUUUAAAGCCUUUUAGGUUGGGGGGAGGGGCGUAAGGUAAUUCCUUGCCUGUUUUGCCUUUCCGACAGGAUUAGGCCCGGGUAACUUCGUUCCCACAGCCGCGGUAAAACGAAGGGUGCAAGCGUUAAUCGGAAUUACUGGGCGUAAAGCGCGCGUAGGUGGUUUGUUAAGUUGGAAGUGAGAGCCCCGGGCUCAACCUGGGAACUGCUUUCAAAACUGGCAAGCUAGAGUAUGGCAGAGGGUGGUGGAAUUUCCUGUGUAGCGGUGAAAUGCGUAGAUAUAGGAAGGAACACCAGUGGCGAAGGCGACCACCUGGGCUAAUACUGACACUGAGGUGCGAAAGCGUGGGGAGCAAACA
RNAcentral lists this ribosomal RNA (421 nucleotides) under uncultured bacterium. RNAcentral describes it as "partial 16S ribosomal RNA". It matches the Rfam family "Bacterial small subunit ribosomal RNA", at positions 359 to 774 of the family's 1533-position model. The record is from RNAcentral.